UUAAGUUCCAUUCAAUACGUUCAACACGAGGGCACGGUAACCGCAAGGAUUCUUGAUCCAGUCGCUCGUUGGGAAGAUGGAAUCCGGGUCCGAUGAUCCCUCGGAGCUAGCUCGCGGGCGGCGCGCCGUUCUCUCCGCCCACCUCGCCACUGACCGCUGUUCCUUUGGCUUAACUCCGGCAUUGGAGAGAUCGUCUGCCCUUUCUCUCGAGGCAUCGCGGCCGUCCGUAAACCUCGGGGAAGCUAAAAGCUACUUUACACUGAUAUCAAAUAUAUGACUGGGAGAGACUGAUAGGACCUUUGGUAGAUUAGUACCGGUACAAAUGACAAGGGACUCUAGCUAUAUGAUCCGGGUUACCUUAACACUGCGCCGGUUCGGUCUUCCAUUUGUUAUAUGGAUGGAGAUGAAGGGAUACUUCGUUACAGAGGGUAUCGAUCGAGGAGCUAGCUGAGAGGAGCACGUUCCUUGAGCCAGCUAGCAGAUUGGGAGUUUGCAAUUUCUCAGUACUCUGCUGUUCCACAGGAUGUCCUGGGUAUUAUACAAGCAAUUGCACACGACACCCACCUUGUCAGUGCAUUGAGUGCUCUUUCUCUCUUCCAUCCAGAUGCAUACCCUGCUCUCAGGGUAAGCCUUCUAUACACAUCAAGGUUAUCUGGAUAGUUCAAGAAUAAAGGUACAUGUGUGAGUGUGUGUACUUGCAUGUAUGCAGUUCUGACCACUAUAAGGCCAUUUCAAUCUAUGUAAGUGUAUUCUUUGGGUUUUUUUGGUUGUAAUGUUGAAGUUUUUCUUUGUCAUAAGCCUAGGAUGUGUAUUGUUUUCUACAAUUGAGUAUAGUUUCUUUGGAAUGCAUCUCAUCUGCUGUCAUCCAAAUCUCAUAUCUAUAUACAACUUUAUGUUUCUGGAAACGAAGUAAAAAAGAAUACUCUCUUAAGACUAGUCUGUUUCAGCUCAAAAUUAUAAAAUAGACCACUUUGUAUCUUUAUGCACUUAUGCUUAAUAUGAUACCUUCUAAAAUUAUAUUCUUAAUGAUCCCAAUUGGCAAUGUUGUUAGGUUCACAUGCAUCACUCUUUGAGCCUAGUUUGAUCCCCUGAAAAUAAUGAGGGAAGGUUUGACACUAAUAUCUGAAUGAAUGGAAAAGGCCAGUGUCAGAUGCCUUGCUAUAUGUGAGUCAAGUGCAUGAAGCAUAUGAAAUCCUAAUGAUUUGUUUUGUCUUGCAGGGUCAAGAUCUUUAUAACUCAAAGCAAGUUAGAGACAAGCAAAUUGUGCGAGUACUUGGAAAUGGAUGCCUAAUUUUUUUAUCAUGCAUUAUUUUGAUAUGCUUAUACUAUAUUAGCCUGGAUAUGUAAAAGCAUUGUGAUGACAUCCUCUAGUUUUUGCUGGCAUUACCUUCAAGUUCUGGAAGCUUAUAUUCAUUCAGUUAUAAAAAAUGAUUGUAGAAUAUUUAUAGCUUCAAGAUGGUUCAUUACUUUUCUUCUAAAUAAGACUACCUGUUUUGUUUUUGAAUCGCUAGGUACCAACAAUUGCAGCUUCAGCUUGCUUGCGGUUAGCCGGAAGGCCUCCAGUUCUCCCUUCCAACAACUUUUCAUAUUCAGAGAACUUCUUAUAUAUGUUGGACUCACUGUAAGACUGGGGUAAUCGAUCAUAUGUCCCUAACCCUCAACUCUCAAGGGUUCUUGAUAUACUUUUCAUCCUACAUGCGGAACAUGAAAUGAACUUCUCCACAGCUGCUGUCAGGCAUCUUGCUUCAAGGUACAUAGGUCCUCUCCAUGGUGGGGCUAAUGAGGUACAACAUUAGUUCUGUUGUGUCUUUGUUUUAUUGCAGUUUAUAUUUCACUGUAAAUUUAGUUAAUCUGUGAAUUCUUCAUGGUAAUCUUUUUUUUUUAAAUUUUAAAACCAGGUCUUUUUGCUUGUGAUAUAUGUUAUUUUCCUUGCCAUCUUUUUAUCCAUGGUUUAUUAGACAAUACAUGCAGCAUUAGUUAUGUUGUAUUUUUGUUUUUUUUUCACAGUUUUUUCUCUCUUAUAACCAGGUCUUUUUGUUUGUGAUGUAUGUUAUUUCCUUACUGUCUUUUUACCCAUGGUUUAUUAGACAAUUAAAUCAUUUUUUGAUCAUGGGAUUGAUUGGCCGUAGUUUUUUUCAUCAGCCUAGAUUUUUGCAAAUACUUAUGGAAUUUUGAGAAGCAAAUAGGAAACAUCUCUAAAGUUGUGUUGAAUAUCUUGUGCAUGACACGCUGUCCUUAAAAUGCUGAAUGAAAUUGGACAAGUCGAGAACAUUCCAGGGUUCAUUGAGGGUGUGAAAAACAGAAAGCGGAAAUUAUCGGGUUUUGGACAUCGUGUCUACAAAAACUAUGAUCCUUGUGCUAAGGUCAUCUGUAAGUUGGCUGAGGAAGUUUUCUCAAUUGUUGGGCAUGAUCCUUUGAUCGAGGUUUCCUUGUUAUCUUGUUAUUUCUAUGAAAUUCAGUAAUAUUCUUUAUUAAAAAUUAAAUACUCAAUAUAGUCCUUAGUGAAAUUGGUUUC
Musa acuminata AAA Group (dessert banana) is the source of this 2515-nucleotide long non-coding RNA. RefSeq lists it as uncharacterized. The record is from RefSeq and is a predicted model, not a curated record. The transcript has 6 exons. NCBI's taxonomy places the organism in Eukaryota, Viridiplantae, Streptophyta, Magnoliopsida, Zingiberales, Musaceae.